UCAGACACGUAACACUCACUAGUUGUGUGACCCUGGAAUGAAAUUUGCCCUGGAAAUGACAGAACAAAAAUGACAAGGAGGAACUUGAUAGCCAUUAUAAGAGCUGAUGAGAAGAGAAGAAGACCCAGGGCGGAGUCUCCAUAAACACCUGUAGUUCUGGGGCAUGAUAUGAAUGAUGAACCAGUAAAGGGGAGAGAUGAAGCAUUUAUAUGGCAUCUGCUAUUUUCCAGUAACUGUGUGAAGCACUUUACAAUAUUAUCUCAUUCA
Vombatus ursinus (common wombat) is the source of this 267-nucleotide long non-coding RNA. RefSeq lists it as uncharacterized. The transcript is spliced from 3 exons. The record is from RefSeq and is a predicted model, not a curated record. Lineage: Eukaryota; Metazoa; Chordata; Mammalia; Diprotodontia; Vombatidae.